Molecule: non-coding RNA, 111 nt
Organism: Prunus avium (sweet cherry)
Lineage: Eukaryota; Viridiplantae; Streptophyta; Magnoliopsida; Rosales; Rosaceae
Source: RefSeq, a predicted model, not a curated record
GAAAGCAUUUAGAUUUGAUGGGUUUGAUGUGAAUGAAUGGAACCUUCGAUGAGGUGAAGAAGAUUGUGAAAAUACUCAAUGAGGGACAGGUGCCAUCACAAGAUGUUGUGG